UCUGACUUGGUUUAUAUUAAAAACUGUUCUGCACACAGUUCUUACAUCAGUAGGAGCUGGUGUGAUUGUAUUUAAUAUCUGGAAAGCUGUUCCACGUUUCCAGCUGUAUAACUGGAUUUUGCCCCAUGUGUGGAAAUAGUGUACCUGGUACUGCGUAUUCUCUCAGAGAUUUUGUGAUCUACUCACAAAAGCAAGUGAAGAGCAACUACAGAAAGGAGCAAUAAGUCUCAGAAGAUUUG
RNAcentral lists this long non-coding RNA (239 nucleotides) under Gallus gallus (chicken). Lineage: Eukaryota; Metazoa; Chordata; Aves; Galliformes; Phasianidae. The record is from RNAcentral.